GCUGAGAUUGCUCAGUUAGUAGAGCGUGAGACUCUGAAUCUCAGGGUGGUGGGUUCGAGCCCCACGUUGGGUG
Non-coding RNA from Podarcis lilfordi (Lilford's wall lizard), 73 nucleotides. NCBI's taxonomy places the organism in Eukaryota, Metazoa, Chordata, Lepidosauria, Squamata, Lacertidae. The record is from the annotation of a GenBank genome assembly.